UACAGAGGGGGCAAGCGUUAUUCGGAAUUAUUGGGCGUAAAGGGCGCGUAGGCGCCUGGCAAGUGGAUGGUGAAAUCCCUCGGCUUAACCGAGGAACUGCCAUCCAGACUGCUUGGCUUGAGACCGGGAGAGGUGAGUGGAAUUCCCAGUGUAGCGGUGAAAUGCGUAGAUAUUGGGAGGAACACCUAUGGCGAAGGCAGCUCGCUGGGACGUUACUGACGCUGAGACGCGAAAGCGUGGGGAGCAAACAGG
This 252-nucleotide ribosomal RNA is filed under the name uncultured bacterium. RNAcentral describes it as "partial 16S ribosomal RNA". It matches the Rfam family "Bacterial small subunit ribosomal RNA", at positions 524 to 776 of the family's 1533-position model. The record is from RNAcentral.